Molecule: non-coding RNA, 113 nt
Organism: Musa acuminata subsp. malaccensis (wild Malaysian banana)
Lineage: Eukaryota; Viridiplantae; Streptophyta; Magnoliopsida; Zingiberales; Musaceae
Source: Rfam
CAGUCACUAUGAUGUUGGCCCGGCUCGAUCAGAAAGCACCACCAUGCACGGCUAAGCAAAAGACGACAUCCACUGCAUUCUGAUUGAGCCGCGCCAAUAUCUUAGUAACUUUU